This 1169-nucleotide long non-coding RNA is filed under the name Vigna radiata. RNAcentral's name for it is "long non-coding RNA (VRAD_LNC013188)". Lineage: Eukaryota; Viridiplantae; Streptophyta; Magnoliopsida; Fabales; Fabaceae. The record is from RNAcentral.
GCUGGAACGGUGCUUAAUACUUGAUUCUCAGCAGCAACAAAAUUUUGUGUGGCUGGAACGUUUGGCAGCAGCAAUAUUUCUCUUUGAANAAUGUUGUUGUUGAUGGGAAUUGGAUGAAUAAGAAGCUGAAUUUUAUUUUCCUUUUCUCUCUUUAUGUUUUCAAUUAGAAAAGUUCCAUUUGAUUUCAAACAAGCAUUGUCUCAUUGGCAUUUGAUUCCAGCGUUAAUUGGUGCAGCACAUCUUGGGUGGUGCAGAUUUCAUUUAGAAGUAGUUGCAUGUGCUAAUUCCAUUUGCCAUUUACAAUGUUUUCUAUUUACUUCAUAACUUCAUUGCAUGAAUGGUGGGACCGGUGAUUAGAUGUGUGCUUGCUUUCAUUUCAUUUUAAAGUGAAGAAUUGAUGAGAUGGGAUUAAGUGAUGUUGUCCACGGUACUUGGAGCUGNAGCAAGGCAUGUGCUAGUCUUUAUUUUGCUUUCAUAAUUUAAAGAGUAGAUUAUGUGAGAGUAUUUGGUGAUGGGACAUGGUGCAGUGGUUUACUCAUUUAAAUCUUUUCUUUUUAUUAGUACAUGAAAUUAGAAUUAGAUUAGAUGGAAUAGGAUGUGACGGUAGGUAGUUGUAGGUAUANCUAGGUUCUUUUCUUUUAUUUAUUUAAGAAUGAAGAGGUGAUUAGAUGGGAUUAAAUACAUGGUGUACGGUGGUGAUGUUGAGAGAAGAAAAUUGCUUGGAGACGCCUAGGCAAGCUCACGGCCAGCAGCAGAAAGUUGGCACGGCUGAUUUCUUUGCUUCCAUUCAACCAAAGUGGCAUCUUCCUUUAUUUAUUUUUCUUUUUUUUUUUUGAAGCGCUGGGCACAUAAGCUAUUGCAAGCAGAGACUUUUUUUUUUUUGGAAUGUGCAAACGGAAUUGGUUCAAAUGCUGCAUGCACAUUGUUUUAAUUUUCUGAAGAAGUUUACGGCCAUUUGGGUACUUNAAUAAUUUAUUGAUUCUAGCACAUGGUUAUGGGUAAUGGUAAAAUAGAUUUAUGCUUUCUNAUUCCUUUUGCCUUAGACUAUUCUACAUUAAAUGUUGCAUAAUUUUUCAUCUUUUCAAUUUAAUCUUAUAUUUUAAUAGCUUUAGUUAUGUUUGGAUAUUUGUAUGUUGUAGUGUUAGGUUUAUCAUUUUAUUUUACUUUAA